This is a long non-coding RNA of Lagopus muta (rock ptarmigan), 2546 nucleotides long. RefSeq lists it as uncharacterized. The record is from RefSeq and is a predicted model, not a curated record. Lineage: Eukaryota; Metazoa; Chordata; Aves; Galliformes; Phasianidae. The transcript is spliced from 3 exons.
UUUCCUUUCCACCUCUCUUUUCAUUGCCUUUCUGGAUGUUCACUUUCCAUUGCCUUUGUACCGUCAUGCUCAAAGGUUAGACAUGGUGCAGUGGAAAGAAAAGCACAUUCUGGCUCCAAAUUAAAUGCGUUUUGGCAGUACUGCUGGGAUGCCUAUGGAUCUUUAUGGACAGAUUUGAUACAGCUGUGACUGUGAAUGGAAAGCAGUGCUUUGAACUGAAGAGGGGUGUAGAGGGUCAAAGGAAGGCCUCAUGCUGUGUUUUUAUCAAUAGACAAAUAGGUUGUGAAGGUGUGUCCUGUAAACGUCAUUGCUUUUGUGAACUUAUCAGCUCACCCUUUAAAUGAGGACUUGGGGGGGGGGGGAAGUGGGUCAGAAAAUAUUUUUACAAUUUGAAACCCCCCCAAAAUCAAGGGCGUCCUAUUUUUCCAGUGCCUAUUACUGUAAACAUGACAACUAUAAAGGAAACAACUGCAGUCUGUACAUCCUGAUAUUUCACAGACAGUUUUAUGAGUGACUCAAAUUAAAAAGCAUGGCAUUGCUUAUUCAUUCCACUGUCAAUAUCUUAAAGUAUUCUACACUCAGUUCUGAGAUUAAUGUGAUAAGCUGUGACUCUUCCUGUUAUUUCUUCCAGUGCUUUUUUUUUUUCUCUCUUUUAAUCUGAAAUAUAUCUGUUUCGUCUUAUUUUUGUACUGAGAGCCGUUUAAAGGCUUUGAAGAUAAGGGAAUAUUUUGCACCAGUGCUCACUGGGGUUCAGGAGUAUUCUGGAAAAUAAUUAUUUAUAGAAAACCAAUUGAUUUUUUUUCAGAAAGAUCAAAGUGCUUUCAGAGAUCUGCAAUAGUGUCACAUUCUUUCGAUUACGUGAGUGCAGCUGUGCUGAAGACCUGGAGAAGCAGUGAUGGCUCAUGCACUGCAGCUACUCCCUUCCCUAUUCUCAUAGGAAGCUCCUGCAUUGAGAUGAAGCAGAAGCUCUUUCCGUGCUUGAAUGGGAAGACGCAGGGAAGCAAGACCUCCUGCUUCAACUCUGCUGCCAAAGAGAAGAAUUUUCUUGCCUGUUGGCUGGAACUAUCUUCACCUGAGACAUCUCUAAUGUUAAAAUAUUAUUCAUGAAAUGCUCAGUGACUUUAACAGAGCUGCUUUAACAGUAAAUCAGGCCUGGGAACGUAACCUUCCUGACCACACGUAUAUAGUGGAAUUGUCCUUCUCCAUGAUGGAAAGGGGUUAAUAGCAGUUGCAAUGGCCUGUGUGGUAUGUCUGCUCCACUUGCUUCCGCUACCCUGGAGUGCUCUUUAUUUGGACAAACACAAUACCAUAAAAAUAUUCUUUUAUCAUUAAUUUUCUUCCUUGUGGUUUAUCCACCAGAAGUUCAUCUCAGGAAAAGUUUAUGCUGAAAUAUGUUGGGGACAAACUGUAACUGAACUCUUUUUUCUGUGUGACAAAAGAGAAAGCUGGGAUCCAGUCUGUCACCACCACUAACCUUUGUACUCACUUUUAUCUGCUGUGAAAACUGUUAUGUCAGACACAUCCUCCUUUUCCCUGUUUGUCUGAAAGUCUGUGAUCGUGCUACCGAAAUCAGCGGAACUGAAGCUUUAGGGCUAGACUGAAGCUUUGCAGUCAUACAAAUCUUUGGUUUCCCUUUACUGCUACCUUCAUGCUCAGCAGGAAGAAGGUGACUCUGUUUUACAUCACAGAGGGGAUUCCUCCACUUUUUGUGCUGGCUCCUUCCUCUCAUCCAUUGUACUCACCUGGGCACCACACCGCAGCAUAGUUUCACUCCCUUGUGUCUGAGAGGCGGAAGCAGAUACUUUGUGCAGUAGCUUAUGGUAACUGUACUCUCAGUUUUUAUUCACUGUUGUAGAAGGAUGUCCACAAAUUAAUGGGAAUUGAGGAUCUUUAGUCCUGGAUCUAGGCUCAAUGGAUCAAACUCAGAGCCAGCGUAUUGAUCAGGUGAGCAGAUAUCCUUCUUAGACCUGCUUUGGUUUAUCCAAGUAGAUGUACUUAGCUGCAGUUGGAAAGGAGGCCUGUGAACAGCAGAAAAUAAGCAUAUAGCAGCAGACCAAAGGAAGUAAAAUACUCCCUGGUGAAACUUGUAGGAAAAUCACUGAGUUCCUGUUCUGUGUGUGGGAAGGUUUUCUUCACAUUCAAGGGGUAAAUUACACUCUUUAUGAUGCAAUUCAUCCGAUGCCCACUUAACAGUAAGUGAACUGGGACGUGAUUCAUUUUUCUUUCUUGAGUCUUAAGGAAGCCUGUUACUGAUUAACUCAUGUCGUGCUCCACUUCAAGUGUCUGCAAUGGUCUGUAUGCUGUAGGAAGGGCACAAGCUCUCUUGAGGAGUGCUUAAUUAUAUCCUGUGUGGCAGAUAUAGACUUUUUUUUUUAAUUAGUAUUAUUCAUUGUUUUUUUUAAGGAGAAAGAAGAUAAGUAAAGGUGAGCACAUUUUGAAGCCCUGUAUUUGUCAGAGAUGGAUCUGAAUGGGAGCAGGGAAUACCCUGGACAGAACUGUACUCAGUUUUCUCUUCUAAGAAAACAAACAAAAAAAGUCUAUUCUGC